Styela clava is the source of this 427-nucleotide non-coding RNA. Lineage: Eukaryota; Metazoa; Chordata; Ascidiacea; Stolidobranchia; Styelidae. The record is from RefSeq and is a predicted model, not a curated record.
AAUUAGUCACCUCCAUAUUAAUACCCACACUUCUGGAGCGCCAAUUUAUGUUUGUGAAAUAAAUUUAUAUUUUUGUAUGCUUUACAUACCUCCAGAUUAUCCUGUUAUUCGGAGAUCUUAUCUUAUCUUUUUACAGUAGAAACAUGGUAUCUUUAAAGAAAGGCUGUAUUAGAAACUGUUGUUGCGAUUGAAAGUUUCUGGUCUUCUCAAUUAGAACUAUACUUCUCAUUUCCCAAAAGUUGUGCCGAGUAUAUUGACAGAGAAACAGCGAAUAAACGAUUUGAAAGAGUUCCAAUCUAUCCGAGAACAGUAGAAGAUAAAACCAUCAUGAUACUUGCGAACUGCUCAUAUGUGCCGCCUAUUGUAAACCCAGGGUUCAAUCAAGAGGAGAUCUUUUGGCAGUUCCAAAAAACAGUGUGGAAGGCAG